CAGCAGCCACGGUAAUACGGAAGGUCCGGGCGUUAUCCGGAUUUAUUGGGUUUAAAGGGAGCGUAGGCCGCCCCUUAAGCGUGUUGUGAAAUGCGGGUGCUCAACAUCCGACUUGCAGCGCGAACUGGGGGGCUUGAGUGCGCCGAAAGUAGGCGGAAUUCGUGGUGUAGCGGUGAAAUGCUUAGAUAUCACGAAGAACUCCGAUUGCGAAGGCAGCUUACUGUAGCGCAACUGACGCUGAUGCUCGAAAGCGUGGGUAUCGAACAGGAUUAGAUACCCCGGUAGUCCCUGUCUCUUAUAC
RNAcentral lists this ribosomal RNA (301 nucleotides) under uncultured bacterium. RNAcentral describes it as "partial 16S ribosomal RNA". It matches the Rfam family "Bacterial small subunit ribosomal RNA", at positions 509 to 807 of the family's 1533-position model. The record is from RNAcentral.